This 85-nucleotide non-coding RNA is filed under the name Teichococcus cervicalis. RNAcentral describes it as "Roseomonas cervicalis ZTP sequence". It matches the Rfam family "ZMP/ZTP riboswitch aptamer (pfl RNA motif)". From Rfam's summary of the family: Previously known as pfl RNA. RNAcentral also lists the same sequence under 1 other name. Lineage: Bacteria; Pseudomonadati; Pseudomonadota; Alphaproteobacteria; Acetobacterales; Roseomonadaceae. The record is from RNAcentral.
GCCCUCCCGCGUGACUGGCGAGAGAGAUGGAGCACCAUCGGGGAGCGCGGGGCCAUGCCGUUUGCCGCUCGCCUGGGCAAUCCAC